This 88-nucleotide transfer RNA is filed under the name Deltaproteobacteria bacterium. Its description in RNAcentral is "tRNA-Ser". It matches the Rfam family "tRNA". From Rfam's summary of the family: Transfer RNA (tRNA) molecules are approximately 80 nucleotides in length. Their secondary structure includes four short double-helical elements and three loops (D, anti-codon, and T loops). Lineage: Bacteria; Pseudomonadati; Myxococcota; Myxococcia. The record is from RNAcentral.
GGAAGGGUGGCCGAGUGGUUUAAGGCACCGGUCUUGAAAACCGGCAAUGGGUAACCAUUCAUGGGUUCGAAUCCCAUCCCUUCCGCCA